UUCUUUUCCUCCGUAAAUGCGUUGCAAUUUUAGGGAUUUGCCCAAGAUUAGGUGGAACCUUUGAUUUGCUUGGUUUGGAUCUUUGUUUGCCCAAGAUUAGGUGGAACCUUUGAUCCCCCACACACACACACACACACACACACAAUAUGAUUCUUGUUAGUGAAACCUAGAUUGUAAUUUUUUUAGGUAUAUAUGAGAUGCCUAGUUUUGUAGAUAAUUAUGAGAUGUUGAGUUUUGUAGCUAUAUGUGAGAUGUUGAGUUUUUUUAGAUAUAUAUGAAAUGUUUAGUUUAUUUGAAAUAUGAGAUGUUGAUUUACUUGAACACAUAUGACAUACUAGAUAUAUAUGAUAAUUUACAAUCAUUUAUUCAUUGUGUGAGAAGGAGAUGUUGAGAUUCUUGUAGAUGAAUACAUAUGAGAUGUUUAGAUGAACACAUAUGAAAUGUUGAGUGUUUACCGAUAUUUGAGAUGAACUCAUAUAUGUUUAUUGUUUGUAAUUUGUAAGGAUGGUUUGGCUUCUCGACGAUGUCUACGACACGAAACACCGGGCCUACAUGAUGCGCGAGAAGGAGAUGAAGCUUGAACCUUUGAAGAUUCGGUAUCACGGGGUCUCUGGUCCUGCCAUGCCUUACGAUGAGCGGUACACACCGUACAUCAAGCAGGCAGGACUACUCCCGUGGAUUCAGUUGGUCAGCCGGUCCACGCCGAAUCUGAACGCUCCACUGGUGUCCGCUCUUGCUGAUCGGUGGAGGCCGGAGACGCAUAGUUUCCAUCUUCGGACUGGGGAGAUGACCGUGACGCUCGAGGAUGUCUCGUUGAUCACCGGUCUUGCUAUCGACGGGAUGCCUCUCUGUAUGAGCACCGAUUCUGAUGGGUGGCGCGAGCAGAUGAUUGCUCUUAUCGGUAUGGCUCCUACUGAGGCUGAGGCUGAUGUAGAGGAGGGAGAAGAGAAGAAGAAGAGGGAAAGGAAAGCAGCCGGAGCUGCUUUCACGUGGAUUCAAACUCACUUUGCGACGUGCCCUCCGGAUGCCACUGAUGAUGUGAUCCAGACACAUGCUCGUGUCUACAUGUGGUAUGUUGUGUCGAGGACUUUGUUUCCUGACUCCACUGGCAAGAACGCUCCAUGGAUGUGGCUGAAGGCGUUGACCGUCUUCGAUAGCAAAUGGAGCUGGGGUUCAGCGACUCUUGCCUACUUGUACCGACAGGUAGUUGGUCUGUUUUGUGAUCAACUCAUUUCUUCAUUAGCAAUGCAAGCUUGCUGUCAAGUUAACAUUGUUUUUCUUUCAUAUGCAGCUGGACGAUGCGUGUUGCAGGAUCACAGAUAGUGCAGGCAUUGGUGGUAAUAUGCUGCUACUUUCUGUAUGGAGCUGGGAGCGUCUGCCUGUUGGACGCCCGAAGAGCGUCAGGUUUAAUCCUUGGUAUGAAGAUGAACAUGACGAAUUACGGCGCCCCACUUGGGCUUACAAGUGGGAUGUGGUUUCCGAGAUGACGAACGAUGUCAAUCUCAUGUACCAGAAGUACGUUGCCGAGUUGGACACGAUUACGCCUGAGCAGGUGGAAUGGCAGCCAUAUGGCGCGGAUGACAGACUUGGGUACACCCCGGAGUUUAGCAUCAACCCGAUGUGCUUGCGGG
Molecule: non-coding RNA, 1631 nt
Organism: Aegilops tauschii subsp. strangulata
Lineage: Eukaryota; Viridiplantae; Streptophyta; Magnoliopsida; Poales; Poaceae
Source: RefSeq, a predicted model, not a curated record